UGUGAUAUCAUGGUAACAGAAGAAACUUUGUACAUAACCUCGGUGCUCACUCUAGUAUUACUGGUGAGGAAUCUUACGCUCAGAUGGUGAGGCAGUUUCCAAGUUAAAAUCAUGCUGUAGUCUAUGCAAAAGGCGAGACAUCGUCUCCACUAAUUAUGAUGACUGUGGGAUAGAAUUGAGGGUGAACCAUUGUAUUCAUCUUCCUCUCUUUAGAGUUCAGUAUUCAGCGUGCCUUGAACCAACUCCUGAGACAGAAGGCAGAAUGGCAUUGUAGGAUCAUCCUUACUGGCUCUUAUAAUAUACUUUGACAUUUUCAUAUGACAGUGUAUUCUGUCAGCAAACAAAGGAUUUGCAAGAAGACUUUCAUCACUUUCCAAGACCACUUUGCAAUUAAUUCAAGUUGUAUCUUUUGGAAUGUAAGUCAAAGAAGUGAAGGAUGUACAUACUCAUAAACUAAAUGCGUGUGCUUUCAUGUUGAAGCUGGAAAUCCUUCAAUAUUUUUACAAGUUCCUGUGCACAUUCAUUGAAUCUACCUAGCUUCCAGCAAAUGCAUUUUCUUGUCACCACUAGGUGUCAUUGUAUCUGUUUUUAAGGUUUUUUAGUACACCAGUGACUGACAUAUUUUUGAAGACUUCACCAGUGAUUUAACAAUAGUUCAGAUUAGAAGAGACGUUAUGGGGGUGGAAGGAGCUGUGAUAGAAUGAGGAAAAGCAAAUUAGGUCCUGAG
This 727-nucleotide long non-coding RNA is filed under the name Bos indicus x Bos taurus (hybrid cattle). RNAcentral's name for it is "lncRNA (ENSBIXG00000028484.1)". The record is from RNAcentral. Lineage: Eukaryota; Metazoa; Chordata; Mammalia; Artiodactyla; Bovidae.